Molecule: unclassified non-coding RNA, 155 nt
Filed under: uncultured Dothideomycetes
Lineage: Eukaryota; Fungi; Ascomycota; Dothideomycetes
Description: sequence contains ITS2
Source: RNAcentral
CUCCAAUCAAGCCUGGCUUGGUGUUGGGCCCCGGGGGUGACCCGGACCCCAAUGUCCGCCGGCCGGACGACCCGGACCUCAGCGUUAUGGCACUUUCUUACGAGUACCGCUGGAGGGGAAGGGGCGACCGCGCCGUCACAAACACACUUCUGAAA